CAGCCUCCUCUGUUUCCGCCCUGAGAGCGGGCUCUUCUGAGUCGGGGAGAAUUGGGCAUCGUCACGUGCUCUGUCUGCGCCCCGAGUGGCCUCUUCUCCUCCUCCACAGACACCUCGGGGAGGGGUCAUCCUUCAGACACGCUGAGCCUAGGCUGCCCGCCCUUCCGCAGCCCCGCCCUGGCCGGCUCCUCGCGGCCCACUAGGCCGGUUCUUCCCCACGUCAGGACCCCGCCACCCCACUCUGCCCCUCCACCCGAGGCUGCCUUAUCCUUUUGCUUUCUCUCUUAAAUCUGCUGCCCGUUACUGCUAUUCUACCCUUUGGUAGGUGUCAACAGAUGUUCACACUUUCCUUUCUUUCUGAUGGUGGUCAGGAAACCUAGCACUCCACCUAAGGCGAAGAAGCCGGGCGUUUGUCUGUUGUGAGUGAGUGACAAGGGCGGAGGAGGCGUGCCAGGCUGGCUGCAGUACCAUUCCCUGAGUCUGGCACUGCCUGAAGGGAGCCCUGCCGGUCACAUCAGACGUUCCUAAGGGGCCUGGAGUGAAAGGUGCUUGCAGGGAGCAAGUGAAAGUGGCGCCCCCACCCAGUCUGCCCAUUCCACCUCUCUUUAUACUGAUGAGAGAAGCCAAAGGGAGGCAACAAGGAAAAGAAGAGAAACUGGAAGCUGGGAUGAUUGACAGACUAGAAUGACAGGCUGCUGAAACUGAAUGAAACCCCAGAAGUUAUCAAUUCAUCCUUCACUUUUUGAGUUUUUAUUGAAGUUUGAAUGGGGAGGCACUGGCCUCGGAGCUCCUUGCUGCUGACAUCAGUUGUGCCCUUGUAGGAGACGUCCUGGUCCUGUCUGCCUCAGAGGCUUCCAUCUGCGGAUUUCCUGAGGUCGUCCCCUUACUCCUCUGCUGCAGUCUCUCUCAACAUUUCAACUGUCUGCUCCAGAAAGUUACUCUGUCACUAAGUAAAAUAAAUACAAACAAAAUAAGCAAUAAUCUACCCCCUUCCUUUCUCCUCUGGUCCCCUCUCUGUCUGCCUGUCACCCCCUCCUCAAUGAGAACGUGGAUCCCUCGUGGCAUUUCUCUGGAGGGAUGGCCCAGGCUUUCCCAGCCCAUGCACUCUCAGCCAGAUCAUUUGCCUGCGGUCCCAUGGCCGUCUCCAAAAUGUGC
RNAcentral lists this long non-coding RNA (1155 nucleotides) under Homo sapiens (human). RNAcentral describes it as "non-protein coding lnc-GLB1L2-3:1". Lineage: Eukaryota; Metazoa; Chordata; Mammalia; Primates; Hominidae. The record is from RNAcentral.